GACCAGAUGGCCUAGUGGUAUUUAGGGGGUACACUACCAAUAUGAAGGUCACGGGUUCAAUCCCCUCUUGGGACC
Molecule: non-coding RNA, 75 nt
Organism: Caenorhabditis brenneri
Lineage: Eukaryota; Metazoa; Nematoda; Chromadorea; Rhabditida; Rhabditidae
Source: the annotation of a GenBank genome assembly